Zea mays is the source of this 998-nucleotide RNA transcript. RefSeq lists it as uncharacterized. The transcript is spliced from 3 exons. The record is from RefSeq and is a predicted model, not a curated record. NCBI's taxonomy places the organism in Eukaryota, Viridiplantae, Streptophyta, Magnoliopsida, Poales, Poaceae.
AUGACCCCAAAACAGAGUCACAAUCCAGAAGAUAAUGCUGUAUUUGAAGCCGUCACUGAAGUGCCAACUAGUGAGAAGCCGGUUCUAGUGGUAGAUGUGUCUGUUGCUGCUGGUUCUGCCGCUCCUGAACAUGCUGAAGCCGCCUAUUGCAUUUCAGAAUCCAACAAAGUCGAAGAAAAUCAUGUAAAUGCGGAGCCUAGGAGAAAGAAUAAUGAAAGUGAUCAUGGUGUAGUGCCUUCUGAUAAGGAAAUACAGAACAAUGUGCCUGGUGACAUGGAGGAAAGCUCCGAGCAACAUGAAGGUGAUGGAGCACCUGCAGUUGACCAGCCCAAUAACACAUCUGAAAUGCUCCCAGAAACAGGAGAGCAGUUUCCUGACAGUGGAAAUAGCCCAGACAUCAACUUAGAGGCUGCUAGUUUGGGGAAUGUUGAUCAGGGUGCUAGAUACCGCCUCCCACCUCUUGAUAAAGGCAGGUUUCAAGUUGCUGAUCUUGUCUAGGGUAAAGUGAAAAGUCAUCCUUGGCGGCCUGGUGAAAUUUUUGAUCCAACAGAUGCAUCUGAAUUGGGGCUGAAGCAUCAGAAAAAGGCAGCCACUUGGUAGCUUAUUUUGGUGACAUUAUUUUUGCAUGGUGCGAUGAAUCCCAGUUGAAGCCUUUUGUAACAAAUUAUUCACAAAUGGAGAAGCAGAGCAGUUCAGAUGCCUUUGUUGGGUUAGUUAAUAAUGCACUUGAAGAACUGUCAAGGCGGGUACUGUCCGGUUUGAGCUGCUCUUGUUUGCCAGAAGAGCUUGCUGAUAAUGGUAUGUCAUAUACGGUUGAUAAUGCUGGGCUCAAAGAUGGAGUUACUUGUUCUGCAGUUAAUCGGCCUGAGAUCUUGAACUAUUUUAGUCCUAAAUCCUCCUAUAACAGUUAUAUCUUUAUUUUUCUAAAGCGUUUCUUCUUGAACAAAAUUUAUUACCUUAUUCCUAAGAAGAACUUGCUGCAGUGUUCUUCUACAUAG